AGAGUUUGAUCAUGGCUCAGAGCGAACGCUGGCGGCAGGCCUAAUACAUGCAAGUCGAGCGCACCUUCGGGUGAGCGGCGGACGGGUGAGUAACGCGUGGGGAAUGUGCCCUUUGGUACGGAACAACUGAGGGGAAACUUCAGCUAAUACCGUAUGUGCCCUUCGGGGGGAAAGAUUUAUCGCCAUUGGAGCAGCCCGCGUUGGAUUAGGUAGUUGGUGAGGUAAAGGCUCACCAAGCCUACGAUCCAUAGCUGGUCUGAGAGGAUGAUCAGCCACACUGGGACUGAGACACGGCCCAGACUCCUACGGGAGGCAGCAGUAGGGAAUCUUGCGCAAUGGGCGAAAGCCUGACGCAGCCAUGCCGCGUGAAUGAUGAAGGUCUUAGGAUUGUAAAAUUCUUUCACCGGGGAAGAUAAUGACGGUACCCGGAGAAGAAGCCCCGGCUAACUUCGUGCCAGCAGCCGCGGUAAUACGAAGGGGGCUAGCGUUGCUCGGAAUUACUGGGCGUAAAGGGCGCGUAGGCGGAUAUUUAAGUCGGGGGUGAAAGCCCAGGGCUCAACCCUGGAAUAGCCUUCGAUACUGGAUAUCUUGAGUUCGGGAGAGGUGAGUGGAACUCCGAGUGUAGAGGUGAAAUUCGUAGAUAUUCGGAAGAACACCAGUGGCGAAGGCGACUCACUGGCCCGAUACUGACGCUGAGGCGCGAAAGCGUGGGGAGCAAACAGGAUUAGAUACCCUAGUAGUCC
RNAcentral lists this ribosomal RNA (743 nucleotides) under uncultured bacterium. RNAcentral describes it as "bacterial SSU rRNA". It matches the Rfam family "Bacterial small subunit ribosomal RNA", at positions 8 to 796 of the family's 1533-position model. The record is from RNAcentral.